RNAcentral lists this ribosomal RNA (469 nucleotides) under uncultured bacterium. RNAcentral describes it as "partial 16S ribosomal RNA". It matches the Rfam family "Bacterial small subunit ribosomal RNA", at positions 28 to 507 of the family's 1533-position model. The record is from RNAcentral.
GACGAACGCUGGCGGCGUGCUUAACACAUGCAAGUCGAACGGAAAGGCCCUGCUUGCAGGGUGCUCGAGUGGCGAACGGGUGAGUAACACGUGGGUGAUCUGCCCCUUACUUUGGGAUAAGCCUGGGAAACUGGGUCUAAUACUGGAUAGGACCAUGCUGUAGGUGGUGUGGUGGAAAGAUUAGUUUCGGUAAGGGAUGAGCUCGCGGCCUAUCAGCUUGUUUGUGGGGUAAUGGCCUACCAAGGCGUCGACGGGUAGCCGGCCUGAGAGGGUGGACGGCGACAUUCGGACUGAGAUACGGCGCAGAGUAGUACUAGAGGCAGCAGUGGGGAAUAUUGCACAAUGGGCGCAAGCCUGAUGCAGCGACGCCGCGUGGGGGAUGACGGUCUUCGGGUUGUAAACUCCUUGCAGCAAUGACGAAGCACUUGUGGUGACGGUAGUGGUAGAAGAAGCACCGGCUAACUACGUG